RNAcentral lists this ribosomal RNA (412 nucleotides) under Veillonella parvula. Its description in RNAcentral is "bacterial SSU rRNA". It matches the Rfam family "Bacterial small subunit ribosomal RNA", at positions 28 to 417 of the family's 1533-position model. Lineage: Bacteria; Bacillati; Bacillota; Negativicutes; Veillonellales; Veillonellaceae. The record is from RNAcentral.
GACGAACGCUGGCGGCGUGCUUAACACAUGCAAGUCGAACGAAGAGCGAUGGAAGCUUGCUUCUAUCAAUCUUAGUGGCGAACGGGUGAGUAACGCGUAAUCAACCUGCCCUUCAGAGGGGGACAACAGUUGGAAACGACUGCUAAUACCGCAUACGAUCUAACCUCGGCAUCGAGGAUAGAUGAAAGGUGGCCUCUAUUUAUAAGCUAUCACUGAAGGAGGGGAUUGCGUCUGAUUAGCUAGUUGGAGGGGUAACGGCCCACCAAGGCGAUGAUCAGUAGCCGGUCUGAGAGGAUGAACGGCCACAUUGGGACUGAGACACGGCCCAGACUCCUACGGGAGGCAGCAGUGGGGAAUCUUCCGCAAUGGACGAAAGUCUGACGGAGCAACGCCGCGUGAGUGAUGACGGCCU